RNAcentral lists this ribosomal RNA (558 nucleotides) under Acinetobacter albensis. RNAcentral's name for it is "bacterial SSU rRNA". It matches the Rfam family "Bacterial small subunit ribosomal RNA", at positions 943 to 1499 of the family's 1533-position model. Lineage: Bacteria; Pseudomonadati; Pseudomonadota; Gammaproteobacteria; Moraxellales; Moraxellaceae. The record is from RNAcentral.
GGUUUAAUUCGAUGGAACGCGAAGAACCUUACCUGGUCUUGACAUAGUAAGAACUUUCCAGAGAUGGAUUGGUGCCUUCGGGAGCUUACAUACAGGUGCUGCAUGGCUGUCGUCAGCUCGUGUCGUGAGAUGUUGGGUUAAGUCCCGCAACGAGCGCAACCCUUUUCCUUAUUUGCCAGUGGGUUAAGCCGGGAACUUUAAGGAUACUGCCAGUGACAAACUGGAGGAAGGCGGGGACGACGUCAAGUCAUCAUGGCCCUUACGACCAGGGCUACACACGUGCUACAAUGGUCGGUACAUAGGGUUGCUACCUAGCGAUCAGGAUGCUAAUCUCAACAAGCCGAUCGUAGUCCGGAUUGGAGUCUGCAUCUCGACUCCAUGAAGUCGUAAUCGCUAGUAAUCGCGGAUCAGAAUGCCUCGGUGAAUACGUUCCCGGGCCUUGUACACACCGCCCGUCACACCAUGGGAGUUUGUUGCACCAGAAGUAGGUAGUCUAACCGCAAGGAGGACGCUUACCACGGUGUGGCCGAUGACUGGGGUGAAGUCGUAACAAGGUAG